Molecule: ribosomal RNA, 301 nt
Filed under: uncultured bacterium
Lineage: Bacteria
Description: partial 16S ribosomal RNA
Rfam family: Bacterial small subunit ribosomal RNA
Source: RNAcentral
CAGCAGCCGCGGGAAUACGUAGGGUGCAAGCGUUAAUCGGAAUUACUGGGCGUAAAGCGUGCGCAGGCGGUUCGUUAAGACAGAUGUGAAAUCCGCGGGCUUAACCUGGGAACUGCAUUUGUGACUGGCGGGCUAGAGUAUGGCAGAGGGGGGUAGAAUUCCACGUGUAGCAGUGAAAUGCGUAGAGAUGUGGAGGAAUACCGAUGGCGAAGGCAGCCCCCUGGGCCAAUACUGACGCUCAUGCACGAAAGCGUGGGGAGCAAACAGGAUUAGAUACCCCGGUAGUCCCUGUCUCUUAUAC